RNAcentral lists this ribosomal RNA (445 nucleotides) under uncultured Bacteroidota bacterium. RNAcentral describes it as "bacterial SSU rRNA". It matches the Rfam family "Bacterial small subunit ribosomal RNA", at positions 354 to 796 of the family's 1533-position model. Lineage: Bacteria; Pseudomonadati; Bacteroidota. The record is from RNAcentral.
GUGAGGAAUAUUGGUCAAUGGGCGCAAGCCUGAACCAGCCAUCCCGCGUGAAGGAAGAAGGCGCUAUGCGUUGUAAACUUCUUUUCCAGGGAAAUAAAAUUUCGUACGUGUACGGAACUGAAGGUACCCUGGGAAUAAGCAUCGGCUAACUCCGUGCCAGCAGCCGCGGUAAUACGGAGGAUGCAAGCGUUAUCCGGAUUUAUUGGGUUUAAAGGGUGCGCAGGCGGAAAAAUAAGUCAGUGGUGAAAUCCUGCAGCUUAACUGUAGAAUUGCCGUUGAUACUGUUAUUCUUGAGUGUGGUCAAGGUAGGCGGAAUGUGUAAUGUAGCGGUGAAAUGCUUAGAUAUUACACAGAACACCGAUUGCGAAGGCAGCUUACUGGGCCAUUACUGACGCUCAUGCACGAAAGCGUGGGGAUCGAACAGGAUUAGAAACCCUGGUAGUCC